GGGUUGUGAGGUUAAGCGACUAAGCGUACACGGUGGAUGCCCUGGCAGUCAGAGGCGAUGAAGGACGUGCUAAUCUGCGAAAAGCGUCGGUAAGGUGAUAUGAACCGUUAUAACCGGCGAUGUCCGAAUGGGGAAACCCAGUGCAAUUCGUUGCACUAUCGUUAACUGAAUACAUAGGUUAACGAGGCGAACCGGGGGAACUGAAACAUCUAAGUACCCCGAGGAAAAGAAAUCAACCGAGAUUCCCCCAGUAGCGGCGAGCGAACGGGGAGCAGCCCAGAGUCUGAAUCAGCUUGUGUGUUAGUGGAACGGUCUGGAAAGUCCGACGGUACAGGGUGAUAGUCCCGUACACCAAAAUGCACAGGCUGUGAACUCGAAGAGUAGGGCGGGACACGUGGUAUCCUGUCUGAAUAUGGGGGGACCAUCCUCCAAGGCUAAAUACUCCUGACUGACCGAUAGUGAACCAGUACCGUGAGGGAAAGGCGAAAAGAACCCCGGCGAGGGGAGUGAAAAAGAACCUGAAACCGUGUACGUACAAGCAGUGGGAGCACCUUCGGGUGUGACUGCGUACCUUUUGUAUAAUGGGUCAGCGACUUAUAUUCUGUAGCAAGGUUAACCGUAUAGGGGAGCCGCAGGGAAACCGAGUCUUAACUGGGCGUUAAGUUGCAGGGUAUAGACCCGAAACCCGGUGAUCUAGCCAUGGGCAGGUUGAAGGUUGGGUAACACUAACUGGAGGACCGAACCGACUAAUGUUGAAAAAUUAGCGGAUGACUUGUGGCUGGGGGUGAAAGGCCAAUCAAACCGGGAGAUAGCUGGUUCUCCCCGAAAGCUAUUUAGGUAGCGCCUCGUGAACUCAUCUUCGGGGGUAGAGCACUGUUUCGGCUAGGGGGUCAUCCCGACUUACCAACCCGAUGCAAACUACGAAUACCGAAGAAUGUUAUCACGGGAGACACACGGCGGGUGCUAACGUCCGUCGUGAAGAGGGAAACAACCCAGACCGCCAGCUAAGGUCCCAAAGUCAUGGUUAAGUGGGAAACGAUGUGGGAAGGCACAGACAGCCAGGAUGUUGGCUUAGAAGCAGCCAUCAUUUAAAGAAAGCGUAAUAGCUCACUGGUCGAGUCGGCCUGCGCGGAAGAUGUAACGGGGCUAAACCAUGCACCGAAGCUGCGGCAGCGACACUAUGUGUUGUUGGGUAGGGGAGCGUUCUGUAAGCCUGCGAAGGUGUGCUGUGAGGCAUGCUGGAGGUAUCAGAAGUGCGAAUGCUGACAUAAGUAACGAUAAAGCGGGUGAAAAGCCCGCUCGCCGGAAGACCAAGGGUUCCUGUCCAACGUUAAUCGGGGCAGGGUGAGUCGACCCCUAAGGCGAGGCCGAAAGGCGUAGUCGAUGGGAAACAGGUUAAUAUUCCUGUACUUGGUGUUACUGCGAAGGGGGGACGGAGAAGGCUAUGUUAGCCGGGCGACGGUUGUCCCGGUUUAAGCAUGUAGGCUGGUUAUCCAGGCAAAUCCGGAUAAUCAAGGCUGAGGUGUGAUGACGAGGCACUACGGUGCUGAAGUAACAAAUGCCCUGCUUCCAGGAAAAGCCUCUAAGCAUCAGGUAACAUCAAAUCGUACCCCAAACCGACACAGGUGGUCAGGUAGAGAAUACCAAGGCGCUUGAGAGAACUCGGGUGAAGGAACUAGGCAAAAUGGUGCCGUAACUUCGGGAGAAGGCACGCUGGUGUGUAGGUGAAGUCCCUGCGGAUGGAGCUGAGACCAGUCGAAGAUACCAGCUGGCUGCAACUGUUUAUUAAAAACACAGCACUGUGCAAACACGAAAGUGGACGUAUACGGUGUGACGCCUGCCCGGUGCCGGAAGGUUAAUUGAUGGGGUUAUCCGUAAGGAGAAGCUCUUGAUCGAAGCCCCGGUAAACGGCGGCCGUAACUAUAACGGUCCUAAGGUAGCGAAAUUCCUUGUCGGGUAAGUUCCGACCUGCACGAAUGGCGUAAUGAUGGCCAGGCUGUCUCCACCCGAGACUCAGUGAAAUUGAACUCGCUGUGAAGAUGCAGUGUACCCGCGGCAAGACGGAAAGACCCCGUGAACCUUUACUAUAGCUUGACACUGAACAUUGAGCCUUGAUGUGUAGGAUAGGUGGGAGGCUUUGAAGCGUGGACGCCAGUCUGCGUGGAGCCAACCUUGAAAUACCACCCUUUAAUGUUUGAUGUUCUAACGUUGGCCCCUGACCGGGGUUGCGGACAGUGUCUGGUGGGUAGUUUGACUGGGGCGGUCUCCUCCCAAAGCGUAACGGAGGAGCACGAAGGUUAGCUAAUCCUGGUCGGACAUCAGGAGGUUAGUGCAAUGGCAUAAGCUAGCUUGACUGCGAGCGUGACGGCGCGAGCAGGUGCGAAAGCAGGUCAUAGUGAUCCGGUGGUUCUGAAUGGAAGGGCCAUCGCUCAACGGAUAAAAGGUACUCCGGGGAUAACAGGCUGAUACCGCCCAAGAGUUCAUAUCGACGGCGGUGUUUGGCACCUCGAUGUCGGCUCAUCACAUCCUGGGGCUGAAGUAGGUCCCAAGGGUAUGGCUGUUCGCCAUUUAAAGUGGUACGCGAGCUGGGUUUAGAACGUCGUGAGACAGUUCGGUCCCUAUCUGCCGUGGGCGCUGGAGAAUUGAGGGGGGCUGCUCCUAGUACGAGAGGACCGGAGUGGACGCAUCACUGGUGUUCGGGUUGUCAUGCCAAUGGCACUGCCCGGUAGCUAAAUGCGGAAGAGAUAAGUGCUGAAAGCAUCUAAGCACGAAACUUGCCCCGAGAUGAGUUCUCCCUGAGACUUUAAGUCUCCUGAAGGAACGUUAAAGACGAUGAC
Molecule: ribosomal RNA, 2837 nt
Filed under: Klebsiella pneumoniae
Lineage: Bacteria; Pseudomonadati; Pseudomonadota; Gammaproteobacteria; Enterobacterales; Enterobacteriaceae
Description: bacterial LSU rRNA
Rfam family: Bacterial large subunit ribosomal RNA
Source: RNAcentral